RNAcentral lists this ribosomal RNA (497 nucleotides) under uncultured bacterium. RNAcentral's name for it is "partial 16S ribosomal RNA". It matches the Rfam family "Bacterial small subunit ribosomal RNA", at positions 28 to 507 of the family's 1533-position model. The record is from RNAcentral.
GAUGAACGCUGGCGGCGUGCCUAAUACAUGCAAGUCGAGCGAACAGAUGAGGAGCUUGCUCCUCUGACGUUAGCGGCGGACGGGUGAGUAACACGUGGAUAACCUACCUAUAAGACUGGGAUAACUUCGGGAAACCGGAGCUAAUACCGGAUAAUAUAUUGAACCGCAUGGUUCAAUAGUGAAAGACGGUUUUGCUGUCACUUAUAGAUGGAUCCGCGCUGCAUUAGCUAGUUGGUAAGGUAACGGCUUACCAAGGCAACGAUGCGUAGCCGACCUGAGAGGGUGAUCGGCCACACUGGAACUGAGACACGGUCCAGACUCCUACGGGAGGCAGCAGUAGGGAAUCUUCCGCAAUGGGCGAAAGCCUGACGGAGCAACGCCGCGUGAGUGAUGAAGGUCUUCGAAUCGUAAAACUCUGUUAUUAGGGAAGAACAAAUGUGUAAGUAACUAUGCACGUCUUGACGGUACCUAAUCAGAAAGCCACGGCUAACUACGUG